GACGAACGCUGGCGGCGCGCCUAACACAUGCAAGUCGAACGAGCGAGAGGAGGUUUACUUUCCCAAGCGAGUGGCGAACGGGUGAGUAACGCGUGAGGAACCUGCCUCAAAGAGGGGGACAACAGUUGGAAACGACUGCUAACACCGCAUAAGCCCACGACCCGGCAUCGGGUAGAGGGAAAAGGAGCAAUCCGCUUUGAGAUGGCCUCGCGUCCGAUUAGCUAGUUGGUGAGGUAAUGGCCCACCAAGGCGACGAUCGGUAGCCGGACUGAGAGGUUGAACGGCCACAUUGGGACUGAGACACGGCCCAGACUCCUACGGGAGGCAGCAGUGGGGAAUAUUGCACAAUGGGGGAAACCCUGAUGCAGCGACGCCGCGUGGAGGAAGAAGGUCUUCGGAUUGUAAACUCCUGUUGUUGAGGAAGAUAAUGACGGUACUCAACAAGGAAGUGACGGCUAACUACGUG
This 466-nucleotide ribosomal RNA is filed under the name uncultured bacterium. RNAcentral describes it as "partial 16S ribosomal RNA". It matches the Rfam family "Bacterial small subunit ribosomal RNA", at positions 28 to 507 of the family's 1533-position model. The record is from RNAcentral.